AAAACUGCCAUGGCUCUCCAAGCAACUCGAAACAUCCAAUACAACAUAAAACAUUCACAAUCAUAUUUAAACAAACUAUCUAGUACCAGUCGUAAAUUCACAAUCAUAUAUAAACAAAUUCAGAGUCAUAUAUAAACAAACUCCCUAGUACCAUUCAUAUAUAUAAAUAAAUUCACAGUCAUAUAUAAACAAAUUCACAAUCAUAUAUACACAAUCUGCCCAGUACCACUCACAAUGUGCACAAUUGCACAUUCACAAUCAUAUAUAAACAAAUUGCUUAGAACCAGUCACAAUGUGCACACUUGCACAGUCACAUAUAUAAACAAAUUCACAGUCAUGUAUAAACAAAUUCAUAAUCAUAUAUAAACAAACUGCCCAGUACCAGUCACAAAUUCACAAUUGCACAUUCACAAUCAUAUAUAAAAAAACUGCCUAGUACCAUUCACAAUGUGUACAAUUGCACAGUCACAUAUAUAAACAAAUUCACAGUCAUAUAUAAACAAAUUCAUAAUCAUAUAUAAACAAACUGCCUAAUACCAGCCACAAAUUCACAAUUGCACAUUCACAAUUAUAUAUAAAAAAUACGCCCAGUACCACUCACAAUGUGCACAAUUGCACAUUCACAAUCAUAUAUAAACAAAUUGCCCUGUAUCGGUCACAAUUGCACAAUCAUAUAUAAACAAACUGCACAGCACCAGUCACAAUUGCAAAAUCCUAUAACAUUCAGACAUCAUCUUUUCCGACAGUGGACUCAAUCAUA
Molecule: long non-coding RNA, 760 nt
Filed under: Ananas comosus (pineapple)
Lineage: Eukaryota; Viridiplantae; Streptophyta; Magnoliopsida; Poales; Bromeliaceae
Description: long non-coding RNA (ACOM_LNC039946)
Source: RNAcentral